RNAcentral lists this ribosomal RNA (465 nucleotides) under Vreelandella stevensii. RNAcentral's name for it is "partial 16S ribosomal RNA". It matches the Rfam family "Bacterial small subunit ribosomal RNA", at positions 338 to 795 of the family's 1533-position model. Lineage: Bacteria; Pseudomonadati; Pseudomonadota; Gammaproteobacteria; Oceanospirillales; Halomonadaceae. The record is from RNAcentral.
UCUACGGGGUGCAGCAGUGGGGAAUAUUGGACAAUGGGCGAAAGCCUGAUCCAGCCAUGCCGCGUGUGUGAAGAAGGCCUUCGGGUUGUAAAGCACUUUCAGUGGGGAAGAAAGCCUUGGGGCUAAUACCCUCGAGGAAGGACAUCACCCACAGAAGAAGCACCGGCUAACUCCGUGCCAGCAGCCGCGGUAAUACGGAGGGUGCGAGCGUUAAUCGGAAUUACUGGGCGUAAAGCGCGCGUAGGCGGUCUGAUAAGCCGGUUGUGAAAGCCCCGGGCUCAACCUGGGAACGGCAUCCGGAACUGUCAGGCUAGAGUGCAGGAGAGGAAGGUAGAAUUCCCGGUGUAGCGGUGAAAUGCGUAGAGAUCGGGAGGAAUACCAGUGGCGAAGGCGGCCUUCUGGACUGACACUGACGCUGAGGUGCGAAAGCGUGGGUAGCAAACAGGAUUAGAUACCCCAGUAGUC